This 377-nucleotide ribosomal RNA is filed under the name uncultured bacterium. RNAcentral's name for it is "bacterial SSU rRNA". It matches the Rfam family "Bacterial small subunit ribosomal RNA", at positions 523 to 898 of the family's 1533-position model. The record is from RNAcentral.
AUACAGAGGUCCCAAGCGUUGUUCGGAUUCACUGGGCGUAAAGGGUGCGUAGGUGGUAGGGUAAGUUUGGUGUGAAAUCUCUGGGCCUAACCCAGAAACUGCAUUAAAUACUAUCCUGCUAGAGGUUUGGAAGGGGGACUGGAAUUCUCGGUGUAGCAGUGAAAUGCGUAGAUAUCGAGAGGAACACCAGUGGCGAAGGCGAGUCCCUGGACAACACCUGACACUGAGGCACGAAAGCUAGGGGAGCAAACAGGAUUAGAUACCCUGGUAGUCCUAGCCCUAAACGGUGCACAUUUGCUGUGAGCGGAAUCGACCCCGCUCGUGGCGGAGCUAACGCGUUAAAUGUGCCGCCUGGGAAGUACGGUCGCAAGAUUAAA